UGAAAGAUUGGAUGAAAUAUAAACUGUCUCUUAAUUAUAAAUAAAAUUUAAUUUUUUAAUUAAAAAGUUAAAAUAAAUUAAAAAGACGAGAAGACCCUAUAGAGUUUAAUAAAUAAAUUAAUUAAGAUUAUUUUUAAUUUUAAAAAUUAAAAUUAGUUUAUUUAUUUUAUUGGGGUGAUAGAAAAAUAAAUAAAACUUUUUUUAAAAAAAAACAUAUAUAAAUGAUUAAAUGAUCCAAUAUUAUUGAUUAUAAGAAAAAAUUACCUUAGGGAUAACAGCGUAAUUUUUUUUUUUAGUUCAUAUAAAAAAAAGAGUUUGCGACCUCGAUGUUGGAUUAAGAUAAAAUUUAAAUGUAGUCG
This 359-nucleotide ribosomal RNA is filed under the name Caradrina kadenii. RNAcentral describes it as "partial 16S large subunit ribosomal RNA". The record is from RNAcentral. Lineage: Eukaryota; Metazoa; Arthropoda; Insecta; Lepidoptera; Noctuidae.